AUGGCUGUCGUCAGCUCGUGUCGUGAGAUGUUGGGUUAAGUCCCGCAACGAGCGCAACCCUUACUUUUAGUUGCUACCAUUUAGUUGGGCACUCUAAAAGAACUGCCAGUGAUAAGCUGGAGGAAGGCGGGGAUGACGUCAAGUCCUCAUGGCCCUUACGUGUUGGGCUACACACGUGCUACAAUGGUACUUACAGUGAGAAGCAAAGAGGCGACUCUAAGCCAAUCCCUAAAAGGUACCUCAGUUCGGAUUGUACUCUGCAACUCGAGUACAUGAAGCUGGAAUUACUAGUAAUCGCGGAUCAGCGCGCCGCGGUGAAUACGUUCCCGGGUCUUGUACACACCGCCCGUCACACCACGAAAGUUGGCAACACCCGAAGCCAGUGGCCCAACCCUUUGGGGAGGGAGCUGUCGAAGGUGGGGUUAGCGAUUGGGGUGAAGUCGUAACAAGGUAGCCGUACCGGAAGGUGCGGCUGGAUCACCUCCUUUCUAAGGAGUCACCUCCGACCAUGGAGCCAUAACGGUUCCUUGAGUCAGACGGAGAUUCCCAGUUGGAGCACUGGUGCUGUCGUCAGCUCGACUAAAGAGUUUGUAGAUACCACCCAUAUCCUUCGGGACAUGGGCCGGAGACUCGCUCAAUAGUUCUGAACGUGGCUCGUUCUCUGUUCUGCUGCCGAGGAGCGCUGUGCGCGUCUCGUGUUGCCCGUCGAAAGGCAACCCAAGACGUGGCUGCGCUGCGUUGAAGCGGCCCGUUUGAUUAUGGGAUUUCGGCUGCACUUUGAGAACUGCAUAGCGAUGCACGAGCAUCUUGAUUUAUUGGCCUUGCGGGCACCAGCCUCAUAGGUCUAAUAGAUCUUAUGAUUUGUUGACUUUUACAAGGUUUCGGCCCUGGAUAAGUUAGCGAAUCUACCGUUCGUUCCAAGUCAACACGGCCUCAUCUCAGCUGAGUCUGAGUCCGUGUGGAGCGACGGUUUUGUUUUUUCGAAUCUGAGUAUCGAUAUACCCAAGCUACGAAGAGCCAAUGGUGAAUGCCUUGGCGCCGAACACCGAAGAAGGACGCGACUGGCUGCGAUAAGCCACGGGGAGCCGCCGAGUAGGCCUUGAUCCGUGGAUGUCCGAAUGGGGAAACCCGG
RNAcentral lists this small RNA (1132 nucleotides) under uncultured bacterium. Its description in RNAcentral is "bacterial SSU rRNA". The stretch from base 1 to 488 matches the Rfam family "Bacterial small subunit ribosomal RNA", at positions 1045 to 1533 of the family's 1533-position model. The record is from RNAcentral.